This 367-nucleotide long non-coding RNA is filed under the name Rattus norvegicus (Norway rat). Its description in RNAcentral is "long non-coding RNA NONRATT027821". Lineage: Eukaryota; Metazoa; Chordata; Mammalia; Rodentia; Muridae. The record is from RNAcentral.
AAAAGCAAUUCAAUCAAAGAUGGCUUCCCCCAAAUGGACAGAAGUGCUUCUAAAUAUAGCAUCUCAGAAGUGUUCUUCAGGCAUUCCUCUGGUUGGUAACUUAAGAACGAGGCUCCUUGCUCUUCAUGUCCUUGAGGCUGUGCUACCUGCUUGUGAAUCUGGUGUAGAGGAUGACCAAAUGGCCCAGGUUGUUGAACGCUUAUUUUCCCUUCUGUCGGAUUGUAUGUGGGAGACUCCCAUUGCUCAGGCCAAACAUGCUAUUCAAAUAAAGGAAAAAGAACAAGAAAUAAAAUUGCAGAAGCAAGGAGAGUUGGAGGAAGAGGAUGAAAAUCUCCCCAUACAAGAAGUCUCUUUUGAUCCAGAGAAG